CAAGUCGAACGUGCCCGCAAGGGCAAGUGGCGAAAGGGUCAGUAACGCGAUCGAACGUACCCUGAGGUGGGGGAUAGGGCAGGGAAACUUGCCAUAAUACCCCAUGAUGUCCUCGGGCCAAAGGUUUACCGCCUUGGGAGCGGCGAUCGUCCUAUCUGGUAGUUGGUGAGGUAAAGGCUCACCAAGCCGAAGACGGGUAGCAGGUGUGAGAGCACGACCUGCGACAUCGGGACUGAGACACUGCCCGGACUUCUACGGAAGGCUGCAGUAACGAAUCUUCCGCAAUGGGCGAAAGCCUGACGGAGCAAUGCCGCGUGUGGGAUGAAGCGGCUACGCCGUGUAAACCACUGUCAGGGGGCAGGAACAAUGACCGCCCCCAAAGGAAGAGCCGGCUAACCCUGUGCCAGCAGCCGCGGUAAUACAGGGGGCUCGAGCGUUAGUCGGAAUCACUGGGCUUAAAGGGUGCGUAGGCGGCUUAUCAAGUGUUUUGUGAAAUCCCACAGCUCAACUGUGGAACAGCAGGGCAAACUGAUAAGCUUGAGGCAGGUAGGGGCCGGAAGAACAGUUGGUGGAGCGGUGAAAUGCGUAGAUAUCAACUGGAAUGCCGAUGGGGAAGCCGUCCGGCUGGGCCUGUCCUGACGCUGAGGCACGAAAGCGUGGGGAGCAAACAGGAUUAGAUACCCUGGUAGUCCACGCCGUAAACGAUGUACACUAGACUGGUGCGGUUUUGACGCCGUAUCAGUCGCAGUAAAAACGAUAAGUGUACCGCCUGGGGAGUACGGUCGCAAGGCUAAAACUCAAAUGAAUUGAC
This 811-nucleotide ribosomal RNA is filed under the name uncultured Pseudomonadota bacterium. RNAcentral describes it as "bacterial SSU rRNA". It matches the Rfam family "Bacterial small subunit ribosomal RNA", at positions 58 to 914 of the family's 1533-position model. The record is from RNAcentral. Lineage: Bacteria; Pseudomonadati; Pseudomonadota.